Molecule: long non-coding RNA, 279 nt
Filed under: Bos taurus (domestic cattle)
Lineage: Eukaryota; Metazoa; Chordata; Mammalia; Artiodactyla; Bovidae
Description: long non-coding RNA NONBTAT018132
Source: RNAcentral
CCACUCACUAAAAUUGGCCCUAAGAACAUCUCUCUAGCCACGCUUAAAUAUUCUUUACCUUAUUUUACAUCUUGUACUUUUCGCUAAGUUGAAGGUCUUUCCUUCAAUCCCAUUCUGUUAUGCUCUCUUAAUUUGAGAAACUGCUUAUUUCUUGUAGUAUUUUUGUCUGACCAUAGAGAGCACAAGGUCAUAAAAAGUUAAGUAAAUUAUUUAUGCAGGAAUUCAUAAUACCUGUCUGCUCUCCUUUUUAUGACUUGAGAAAACAGAGAUAAUUAACCU